GCCAUUCAGUGCCCAAAGUGAGGGUUUAUGAGGCGGAAAUUUUGGAUGUCGAGAGCAAAGCCAAGGUGAAUCUUGGUGUUGCAAUUUGCCAUAUUGACACGUCUGCUUGGGGACCAGAACAUGGGGCAUUUUUGGCACUAGGGUCAAGACCUGGGCAAAUUGAGGUCUGCCACUGGAUCUUUGAGAACGACAUGACUUGGACCAUUGGUGAUUGAAGAUGAGCCGCUGUUACUUGCGUUUGAUUAAUGAAAUUUUGUGCUUGGUGAUUUGUGUCAUUUUUUUUCCUUCGAUGAGAAUUAUGCAAGGAAACGAUCUCCAUAGACACAUUCCAUGAAAAUGCACUCAAUUUCAAUUGCUUUAAUAUUGUUUUCCACUCAUUUCUAUUUUUUUUU
This 392-nucleotide unclassified non-coding RNA is filed under the name Hevea brasiliensis (rubber tree). The record is from RNAcentral. Lineage: Eukaryota; Viridiplantae; Streptophyta; Magnoliopsida; Malpighiales; Euphorbiaceae.